UACAGAGGGUGCAAGCGUUAAUCGGAUUUUACUGGGCGUAAAGCGCGCGUAGGCGGCUAAUUAAGUCAAAUGUGAAAUCCCCGAGCUUAACUUGGGAAUUGCAUUCGAUACUGGUUAGCUAGAGUGUGGGAGAGGAUGGUAGAAUUCCAGGUGUAGCGGUGAAAUGCGUAGAGAUCUGGAGGAAUACCGAUGGCGAAGGCAACCAUCUGGCCUAACACUGACGCUGAGGUGCGAAAAGCAUGGGGGAGCAAACAGGG
RNAcentral lists this ribosomal RNA (257 nucleotides) under uncultured bacterium. Its description in RNAcentral is "partial 16S ribosomal RNA". It matches the Rfam family "Bacterial small subunit ribosomal RNA", at positions 524 to 777 of the family's 1533-position model. The record is from RNAcentral.